This 91-nucleotide transfer RNA is filed under the name Fimbriimonas ginsengisoli Gsoil 348. RNAcentral's name for it is "Selenocysteine transfer RNA". It matches the Rfam family "Selenocysteine transfer RNA". The record is from Rfam by way of RNAcentral. Lineage: Bacteria; Bacillati; Armatimonadota; Fimbriimonadia; Fimbriimonadales; Fimbriimonadaceae.
GGGAGUGAAUGGGUGCUGGUGUGCCUCCUGGUCUUCAAAACCAGUGUGACGUCGCAAAGGCGUCGGGUGGGUUCGAUUCCCACACAUUCCC